This 358-nucleotide unclassified non-coding RNA is filed under the name Hevea brasiliensis (rubber tree). The record is from RNAcentral. Lineage: Eukaryota; Viridiplantae; Streptophyta; Magnoliopsida; Malpighiales; Euphorbiaceae.
GUUUGAUUCUGAAAGGGGAGGACAAAACAAACCAACUCUAGUUUUUCAACUGAAGAAUUCGGGGGAGAAGGCGAGUUGUAUCUCUUGAAUAGCGAAGCUUGGAAAAAUGGCAGUGAGCUUGGCAGGAGAGAAGGUAAUUCUUGUACCAUACAUGGCGGCUCACGUCCCCAAGUACCACCACUGGAUGCAAGACCCGGCUCUGCUCCAAGCCACUGGGUCGGAGCCCCUCUCUCUCGAAGAGGAAUACCAGAUGCAGCAGUCCUGGACCCAGGACCCCCUCAGUUCUCUCUCUUUCUCUCUGCUGCAAUAUUGUCUGAUUGAUGUGUACUGUUGUUUAUUUUAGCUUUCUGAUAAUAGU